RNAcentral lists this ribosomal RNA (362 nucleotides) under uncultured bacterium. RNAcentral describes it as "bacterial SSU rRNA". It matches the Rfam family "Bacterial small subunit ribosomal RNA", at positions 28 to 391 of the family's 1533-position model. The record is from RNAcentral.
GACGAACGCUGGCGGCGUGCUUAACACAUGCAAGUCGAGCGGUAGGGCCCUUUCGGGGGUACACGAGCGGCGAACGGGUGAGUAACACGUGGGUGACCUGCCCUCAGCUCUGGGAUAAGCCUGGGAAACUGGGUCUAAUACUGGAUAUGACUCCACGGUGCAUGUCGUGGGGUGGAAAGCCUUGUGCGGCUGAGGAUGGGCCCGCGGCCUAUCAGCUUGUUGGUGGGGNGAUGGCCUACCAAGGCGACGACGGGUAGCCGGCCUGAGAGGGCGACCGGCCACACUGGACUGAGACACGGCCCAGGACUCCUACGGGAGGCAGCAGUGGGGAAUCUUGCGCAAUGGGCGAAAGCCUGACGCAG